ACAAGAGGCUUGUUUUUAUCCACAGAACACGGACACUGUGGGUAGCACAAGCUUCCUCCCUCCUGCCCCAUCAAUGUGCCUCUAACUUGAUCUGGAAGGACGUCUCUAAGAGGGAGAGGAUAGGCCCAGUUGUGAAGUGGAUCUU
This 145-nucleotide small RNA is filed under the name Chelonoidis abingdonii (Abingdon island giant tortoise). Its description in RNAcentral is "TUC338 (ENSCABG00000011834.1)". The record is from RNAcentral. Lineage: Eukaryota; Metazoa; Chordata; Testudines; Testudinidae.